GGUAGUUGAAAUGGCUUUCUCUCCAGAGUGGAUCCUGAGUACGGCGGAACACGUGAAAUUCCGUCGGAAUCCGGGAGGACCAUCUCCCAAGGCUAAAUACUCCCUAGUGACCGAUAGUGAACCAGUACCGUGAGGGAAAGGUGAAAAGCACCCCGGAAGGGGAGUGAAACAGUUCCUGAAACCGUGUGCCUACAAGUAGUUAGAGCCCGUUAAUGGGUGAUAGCGUGCCUUUUGUAGAAUGAACCGGCGAGUUACGAUUUGUUGCAAGGUUAAGCGGAAAAAGCGGAGCCGUAGCGAAAGCGAGUCUGAAUAGGGCGCAUAAGUAACAGGUCGUAGACCCGAAACCAGGUGAUCUACCCAUGUCCAGGAUGAAGGUAAGGUAAUACUUACUGGAGGUCCGAACCCACGCACGUUGAAAAGUGCGGGGAUGAGGUGUGGGUAGCGGAGAAAUUCCAAUCGAACUUGGAGAUAGCUGGUUCUCUCCGAAAUAGCUUUAGGGCUAGCCUCGAGGUAAAGAGUCAUGGAGGUAGAGCACUGUUUGGACUAGGGGCCCUUCUCGGGUUACCGAAUUCAGAUAAACUCCGAAUGCCAUGUACUUAUACUCGGGAGUCAGACUGCGAGUGAUAAGAUCCGUAGUCGAAAGGGAAACAGCC
Molecule: ribosomal RNA, 653 nt
Filed under: Listeria monocytogenes
Lineage: Bacteria; Bacillati; Bacillota; Bacilli; Caryophanales; Listeriaceae
Description: partial 23S ribosomal RNA
Rfam family: Bacterial large subunit ribosomal RNA
Source: RNAcentral